Molecule: long non-coding RNA, 1486 nt
Organism: Crotalus tigris (Tiger rattlesnake)
Lineage: Eukaryota; Metazoa; Chordata; Lepidosauria; Squamata; Viperidae
Exons: 5
Source: RefSeq, a predicted model, not a curated record
AUAGGUAGACUUUGGGGGCAGGGGUCAAAUCUAGCUAGGAGAACGAAUGAUUUUCUUAUAUAUAUUUUGACAUCUAAUAUUAUAUACAUGGCAUCACCUUUGAGAAGUGUUCAGAAAAUAUUCAGAUAUUUUAAUCAAAGUUGAUUUGAAGACACUUUUCUUUAUUUCUUUUUAUGGAUAUGAAGUACUUUAAUCUGUUUGCAUGUUUAAAUGAGAACAUUGUAUUUCAGGCUGUACAUUAUUACUGUUAUGGCCACUGCAAAAGCAGGCACAUAAUAUUCAUUGCCAUAGAUUCAGGCAUGUAAUCCACCUUUCAUAAAAAGGAGGUGUGAUUUGUCACUACUGUGGCCACAGAAUACAGUAGGGGUAUCAAACUUGCAACGUCAACUGACGCGUCGUGACGUAUCGUGACUUUUUUUUCCCAUCGCCCACAAUGGGGUGGGUGUGGUUUUGCUAUGAUGCAUCCGGCCUGUUGGCUGGCAGUUUGACACCCCUGAAAUUCAGGAUUAAAUUGCCCUCAGCUCUGAUCGGCUGGAAUAGGAAAAAGUUUUAGGUUUUUUUUUUAAAGGACAGAAGUUGUGGGAUCGUGUUGGUAAAAGAAUGGGGUUUAACAGAGUUCUCCAUAGCCUCAGAUUAAUAACUAGGAAUAUCUAAAACUAGAACAUUCUAGAUCAGGGAUAGGCAACUAUGGCUCCUUUAUGAUAUGUGGACUUCAAUUCCCAGAAUGUGUGUGUGUGUGUGUGUGUGUGUGUGUGUGUGUGUGUAAAUAAGUAACAAACCCUGGGAGGUGAGUUGGGCUGAGAGAGUGACUGGUCCCAGAUCAGCUUUCACUGCUAAGGCAGUACUUGAAUUCACAGUCUUCUGCUUUCUAGUCUGGCUCUUGCUUCUUCAAAUCAUUUCUUUUUGCAAUCUUCCCUUUCGUCCGCUAGGAAGAGAGUGCUGCUGGAGAAGACCUUAUUUCUCUUAUGCAUCAGAAAGGGAGAGGGGGACAGGGACAGCAGGUGAGGUGCUUCUAGAAGGUACAGAGUCUUCCUGUGUGAAAGAAAUUCAUCUUUUCUGGCAGACUCCAGCCAUUCCAGGCCUGAGAACUCCCCAAGCACACUGGAGUGCAGUGGCACAACUUAUCUGAUGUCAGUAUCACUAUGGUAAAACAACUAGCGAAGAAAAAAAAGACAGAAAAAAGGCCCUCCAGAAAUUUAUCAGCACUCUUCCCUAAAGUGAACUACUCUCUUCACUUAACAACCCUAAUUGGGGCUAUAAUUUCCAUCAUCAAAUAAAGCCGCCAUCAGCAUCACGUGAACGCACUGCUUAGCAAUGGCAGAUCUGGUAAUCCCAAUUGCAGUCAUUAGUUGGUGGCGGCCGCAGCGUUCUCCAGGGGCGAAAAGGAGUGAGGCCUCUUUAAGGAAAAGGUGGAAGAGACAAGAUCAGAAAAAGGAAAGGAGGCGAGGUUGUCGUGCAGGAAUACAAGCUAAUUUGAGGGAUAAUC